CUGUGCUUUCAGCUUCUUUACGGUGCUGCCUUGUAUCAUGUAUGUCAAGCAGCAUUGUACAGGGCUAUGAAGGAGCAG
This 78-nucleotide microRNA precursor is filed under the name Xenopus laevis (African clawed frog). Its description in RNAcentral is "mir-103/107 microRNA precursor family". It matches the Rfam family "mir-103/107 microRNA precursor family". From Rfam's summary of the family: This family consists of the mammalian microRNA (miRNA) precursors mir-103 and mir107. Animal miRNAs are transcribed as ~70nt precursors and subsequently processed by the Dicer enzyme to give a ~22nt product. Lineage: Eukaryota; Metazoa; Chordata; Amphibia; Anura; Pipidae. The record is from Rfam by way of RNAcentral.